This 486-nucleotide unclassified non-coding RNA is filed under the name Hevea brasiliensis (rubber tree). The record is from RNAcentral. Lineage: Eukaryota; Viridiplantae; Streptophyta; Magnoliopsida; Malpighiales; Euphorbiaceae.
UGUGAUGGAUGCAUUUGAAUUUCCAAGGAAGGAACAAGUAGUAGAUUAUACUUUUAAAGCUUUUUCCCCCAUCUUUGUGAUCCAUGCAUUCAUACUUGCAGUAUAAUCAAACUAACACCUGUGGUACUUAAGAGAAACUUGGAAUCAUAGGACUGAAUGAAAACCACCUUGCAUGUGGCCAAUCUGAACAUUUCUUCUGUUUCGAGUGAGAUUGCUUGAACAUAUUCAUAUAGUUCUCACCACGAAAAUUUGGUUUCUGUGCAUGAUCUAGUUUUAAUUUCUAAAUAAUCAAAUGCAUUUUUUUUUACUCAUUAUCCAAAAGACUUUGCCAUAUUUUACUCUAUUUUGCAUGAACAAAGGGGGAGUUCUUUCUUUAGUAUCUAAUGAAACUGGUGAUUGAUCCAUGGAUUUUAUAUUGUUUUAUCACAGCCAAUAAAAUACUGAGUAAGUUCACACAUAUCGUCUUUUCUUCAGGUAGAUAAUAAG